AAUUAGUAUAUCUAACACGUAAUUUAAAUGUGAAUGUUUGUCCUCUGAAAAAAAGGAAAUAUUGAAUGAAUUGAUAGUAAAUUUUGAGAUUUUACUUUUGCUUGAUAGCUUCAGUACACCUACUCAUUGGAACUAAUGCUAGUGAUAUCUUGGUUUCGUUUGGGAAGUUGGCUAUUUUAAUUUUUAAUUAUUUGAGUAAGCUAAAAUAUUUGUAUUUGGAAAGAUGGUUAGAAUUUUUGUAGUUGGAUGUGAUGUUUGUGAGGGAAAAGUAAAAUGAUUAUGGAUUUGAUGCAUCAUUUUGUCUUAUUAGUUAUUUUAGCGUAUUUUGUCUUUUUUGUGAAUUUUAGCCAAAAAAAAGCCCAAUUUUGGGCAGCCCAAUUUUGGGCUUCCCAAACACCCCAAAACAUUAACAGGAAGGGGACAAUGGUGAUUGUUAUUAUGAAUGGGGUGACAAGAUUGAAAGUUUGAUUCUUGCGGAUGAUGAUGAGAGUCUUAUCUCAUUCAUGACAAGCCCGCCUUUUGCAGAUGGCACAGCUACGUAUUCCAUAUUCAUUCUUUUAAAUAAUAUAUAUGUAUUGUUGAGGCUGUGAAAUGUGCCACUGCAUUGCUGGAAGGGAGGUUGGGCAUAGAUCCAAAAAAUGUUAUAGAUGGUUACCACCUGCUGCAUCAUGCCAUUAUGUCUUCAUCUUAUGACUUAGCUCAAUUGUUUCUUCACUGCGGAGCUCGUACGGAUAUCACAUGCCUUUAUCACUUAAAUAAAGCGUACGAUGGGAUGAUCCCGCUUGAACUAGCCCUUUAUAAAGUGAGAGAGAGGCUUUGGCCAUGUACAAGUUGGUUGCAGGGUUCACCAGGGAUGUUGAAGAGUUAGCUUACCAUUAUGCCACGGAAGGAAAACUUGUUGAGUUGGCUGUCUUGCUGGUUGUGGCUUGAGAAAAGGUUUUGGUUCCCAUCACAUUUCAUGGAAAUAAUGGUGCCGUUUUAAAUGGAAGUAUGACAAUCCAUGAAUGUCUUAAAAAUCAAUUUGUGUCUCUAAUUAACGAGGAUAUCAACCUUAUGGGUCAAGUUAAACAUGAGAAAUUAACUCAAAUUCACAACAAGAAGACAAUUAUGAAGUUGGCUAUGGUAUUGCUUGAAGUUUUUGAGAGGGCUGGUAAUAGUAUUGAGGAAUAUCAUCAGCUACAACUACAACAACCUGAUAUGGAUAUCUGAGCUUCCUCAUGUGGAUAUAAGCUGAUGUUUGUAAGUUGUUAAGGUGUAGAGAGAACAUAUGGAGAAAGAUGUUGCUCUGAGGCUUGUGGAAGCAAGCUUUAACUUGAAGGCUGGAGACUUUGAUUUUAGCAUUAGAGACUGGUUUGAGAGCCUAAUAUUUAACGUUUGAAUGUCUUUUCUGGAUUGUGUUUGUUUUUUUUUUUUAUGCACAUUUAUUGAUCAUCCUUUGUGGUUCAGUAUAACUAAACUAUUAUGUCAUUGAAUGGCUAAUUGACACUUGGGAGUACCUUUCUUCCUUGACAGGAUCAUUUCCUACAAUUCUGCAAUGACCUCUACCAAGUACAUAGACACUCGAUUAGAAGAUAAGUCGUCUCAAUUGUGGAGCCCUCGUUUGCCCAUGCAGCAUCAAACAAAUGCGUUUUUUCCCCCAAGGGUUAGAAAAUGAUAUUUGUUUAGUUUUUUGCUAUUAUUUUCGCUGGUUCAAGUAUUGCUAGGAAUCUUGUUUCUUGGACGCUUUGUGCUAUAACACACAGCAUUUUUCGCCUUCUUUUUUUUCUUAUGAUACGGUUUGCAACAAUUUCAUAUCACAUUAUAAGAACAUGAAUUUGUUUCAGAAAGGAGCUGUUUAUGAAAGUUGUGAUUAUUUUUUUUAUCUAUAACACGAUGCAAAAUGUUUUAAUGAUUUGCAUUUUUCAUUUACAAUUCUAUAUCUAUGUAUAUUUAUUAUAAUAUGUAUACCUUGUUCGUCUCGUAUUCGAGCAGAAAGAAAUACCUGGUGAUGGUAAUUAGUCAUCAGUCUUGACUACCCGUUUUGACAACACCUGUGCUUUAUCCUCUAUGGUGAAGUCAAAUAAUAAAAUUCAAGUCCCAAAAUCCAUCCCUGGUUCUCAGUAUUUUCUACAGGUUUGGAUGUUCAAGUGAAGAAGAGAAUGAAAGCAAUAGAACAUAAUGGGCCCAAAUGUUUGUCAAGGGAGAAGUUUGUGUAUACUGCAAUGUUGAUCAAGAGGGGAAUAAGAAUUGCUUGAAUCUUUUGGGGACCGGCUUUGGUGGUGCUUGGAGGCCUUACAAAUCUGUAGAAUCUGGAAGACUACCUUCUCAAAUGAGAAGGCUUUUGCAACUGUAUGUAUUUAAAUAUGGAAGAUUACCUGCUCAAAUGUGAAGGCUUAUGCAUGUAUGCUUGUCUGCGCGUGUACAUGUGCAUUUGCUUUUUGAUGGAUCUUGAUGGAUCAAUGACGUUAUAACAAUGUAAAUUUUUUUCCCUUUCUCUUUUCUUCUAGUUCUAUAUUAAACUCUAUCCCCCAUUAGUAUUUAUCUUUUCUAAUCUUUUUAUGUGACCUUUGAUAAAUUUUUGGUGAUUAAGGAUGCUUAUAAUCUUCCUUU
Molecule: non-coding RNA, 2589 nt
Organism: Camellia sinensis
Lineage: Eukaryota; Viridiplantae; Streptophyta; Magnoliopsida; Ericales; Theaceae
Source: RefSeq, a predicted model, not a curated record